GUGGACUCUCAAGCGUGAGGUAAGGGCAUUUGGUGGAUGCCUUGGCAUGCACAGGCGAUGAAGGACGUGGCACGCUGCGAUAAGCGUCGGUGAGGUGUGAGCAACCUUUGACCCGACGAUUUCCGAAUGGGGAAACCCACCUUCACCAUUUACUCAGCUGCUGAGCGAUCAGUGGCUGGGUAAAUGGGAACGAAGGUAUCACUGAAGUGAAUACAUAGCUUUGGUGAAGCGAACCCGGAGAACUGAAACAUCUCAGUACCCGGAGGAAAAGACAUCAA
This 278-nucleotide ribosomal RNA is filed under the name Sphingomonas sp. ID1715. RNAcentral describes it as "partial 23S ribosomal RNA". It matches the Rfam family "Bacterial large subunit ribosomal RNA", at positions 1 to 228 of the family's 2925-position model. Lineage: Bacteria; Pseudomonadati; Pseudomonadota; Alphaproteobacteria; Sphingomonadales; Sphingomonadaceae. The record is from RNAcentral.